Molecule: ribosomal RNA, 199 nt
Filed under: uncultured bacterium
Lineage: Bacteria
Description: partial 16S ribosomal RNA
Rfam family: Bacterial small subunit ribosomal RNA
Source: RNAcentral
ACGCUCGACACCUACGGGAAGCAGCAGUGGGGAAUAUUGCACAAUGGGGGAAACCCUGAUGCAGCGACGCCGCGUGAGCGAAGAAGUAUUUCGGUAUGUAAAGCUCUAUCAGCAGGGAAGAAGAAAGACGGUACCUGACUAAGAAGCCCCGGCUAACUACGUGCCAGCAGUCGCGGUAAUCUGAGCGGGCUGGCAAGGC